GUUUGUGAUAGGCCCAAGCAGGUGACAGUAUUGAGGUAGCCUUCUCUGAUCUUGGAAAGCUAAGCAGGCUUAGAACUGGUUGGUACUUGGAUGGGAGACCACUAGUAAAUUCAGGGACUAUAAGCU
This 126-nucleotide ribosomal RNA is filed under the name Salvator merianae (Argentine black and white tegu). Lineage: Eukaryota; Metazoa; Chordata; Lepidosauria; Squamata; Teiidae. The record is from RNAcentral.